AUACGGAGGGAGCGAGCGUUAUUCGGAAUCACUGGGCGUAAAGGACGCGUAGGCGGGUUUGUAAGUCAGGUGUGAAAUCCUACAGCUCAACUGUAGAACUGCACUUGAAACUACAGACCUAGAGUAUAGAAGGGGCAGAUGGAAUUAGUGGUGUAGGGGUAAAAUCCGUAGAUAUCACUAGGAAUACCGAAAGCGAAGGCGAUCUGCUGGGACAUUACUGACGCUGAGGCGUGAAAGCGUGGGGAGCAAACAGGAUUAGAAACCCUAGUAGUCC
Molecule: ribosomal RNA, 274 nt
Filed under: uncultured bacterium
Lineage: Bacteria
Description: partial 16S ribosomal RNA
Rfam family: Bacterial small subunit ribosomal RNA
Source: RNAcentral